CGGGGUGAGCAACACGUAGAGAACCUACCUUACACAGGGGGACAACGGCUGGAAACGGCUGCUAAUACCGCAUAAGCACCCAGUUUCGCAUGAAACAGAGUGAAAAGAGUAAAUCGGUGUAAGAUGGCUCUGCGUCUGAUUAGCUAGUUGGUGGGGUAAAGGCUCACCAAGGCGACGAUCAGUGGCCGGCCUGAGAGGGCGACCGGCCACAUUGGGACUGAGACACGGCCCAGACUCCUACGGAAGGCAGCAG
This 253-nucleotide ribosomal RNA is filed under the name uncultured bacterium. Its description in RNAcentral is "partial 16S ribosomal RNA". It matches the Rfam family "Bacterial small subunit ribosomal RNA", at positions 100 to 354 of the family's 1533-position model. The record is from RNAcentral.